GCAACGAGCGCAACCUUCGUCUUCAGUUGCCAGCACGUAAAGGUGGGAACUCUGAAGAUACUGCCCCGGUUAACCGGGGAGGGAAGGUGGGGAUGACGUCAAGUCCUCAUGGCCCUUAUGCCCAGGGCUACACACGUGCUACAAUGGCAUAUACAAAGGGUCGCGAUACCGCGAGGUGGAGCCAAUCCCAUAAAGUAUGCCACAGUUCGGAUUGGAGUCUGCAACUCGACUCCAUGAAGUUGGAAUCGCUAGUAAUCGCAGAUCAGCAUGCUGCGGUGAAUACGUUCCCGGGCCUU
RNAcentral lists this ribosomal RNA (296 nucleotides) under uncultured Desulfobotulus sp. Its description in RNAcentral is "partial 16S ribosomal RNA". It matches the Rfam family "Bacterial small subunit ribosomal RNA", at positions 1089 to 1382 of the family's 1533-position model. Lineage: Bacteria; Pseudomonadati; Thermodesulfobacteriota; Desulfobacteria; Desulfobacterales; Desulfobacteraceae. The record is from RNAcentral.